GCCUCCGUCAUUCAAUGGAUAGGAUACAAGCUUCCGAAGCUUGCCAUAGAGGUUCGAAUCCUCUCGGAGGCA
Molecule: transfer RNA, 72 nt
Filed under: Candidatus Colwelliibacteriota bacterium
Lineage: Bacteria; Candidatus Colwelliibacteriota
Description: Candidatus Colwellbacteria bacterium tRNA-Arg
Rfam family: tRNA
About the family: Transfer RNA (tRNA) molecules are approximately 80 nucleotides in length. Their secondary structure includes four short double-helical elements and three loops (D, anti-codon, and T loops). Further hydrogen bonds mediate the characteristic L-shaped molecular structure. tRNAs have two regions of fundamental functional importance: the anti-codon, which is responsible for specific mRNA codon recognition, and the 3' end, to which the tRNAs corresponding amino acid is attached (by aminoacyl-tRNA synthetases). tRNAs cope with the degeneracy of the genetic code in two manners: having more than one tRNA (with a specific anti-codon) for a particular amino acid; and 'wobble' base-pairing, i.e. permitting non-standard base-pairing at the 3rd anti-codon position.
Source: RNAcentral